Molecule: ribosomal RNA, 497 nt
Filed under: uncultured bacterium
Lineage: Bacteria
Description: partial 16S ribosomal RNA
Rfam family: Bacterial small subunit ribosomal RNA
Source: RNAcentral
GAUGAACGCUGGCGGCGUGCCUAAUACAUGCAAGUCGAGCGAACAGAUGAGGAGCUUGCUCCUCUGACGUUAGCGGCGGACGGGUGAGUAACACGUGGAUAACCUACCUAUAAGACUGGGAUAACUUCGGGAAACCGGAGCUAGUACCGGAUAAUAUAUUGAACCGCAUGGUUCAAUAGUGAAAGACGGUUUUGCUGUCACUUAUAGAUGGAUCCGCGCCGCAUUAGCUAGUUGGUAAGGUAACGGCUUACCAAGGCAACGAUGCGUAGCCGACCUGAGAGGGUGAUCGGCCACACUGGAACUGAGACACGGUCCAGACUCCUACGGGAGGCAGCAGUAGGGAAUCUUCCGCAAAGGGCGAAAGCCUGACGGAGCAACGCCGCGUGAGUGAUGAAGGUCUUCGGAUCGUAAAACUCUGUUAUUAGGGAAGAACAAAUGUGUAAGUAACUAUGCACGUCUUGACUGUACCUAAUCAGAAAGCCACGGCUAACUACGUG